Non-coding RNA from Lophiotrema nucula, 72 nucleotides. The record is from the annotation of a GenBank genome assembly. NCBI's taxonomy places the organism in Eukaryota, Fungi, Ascomycota, Dothideomycetes, Pleosporales, Lophiotremataceae.
GUGGGUGUAGUUUAGUGGUAAAAUUCGUCUACUUUCCAGACGAGCCCCAGGUUCGAUUCCUCGGCGCCCACC